AUUGAACGCUGGCGGCAGGCCUAACACAUGCAAGUCGAACGGUAACAGGAAGCAUCUUGCUGCUUCGCUGACGAGUGGCGUACGGGUGAGUAAUGUCUGGGAAGCUGCCUGAUGGAGGGGGAUAACUACUGGAAACGGUAGCUAAUACCGCAUAAUGUCGCAAGACCAAAGAGGGGGACCUUCGGGCCUCUUGCCAUCGGAUGUGCCCAGAUGGGAUUAGCUUGUUGGUGGGGUAACGGCUCACCAAGGCGACGAUCCCUAGCUGGUCUGAGAGGAUGACCAGCCACACUGGAACUGAGACACGGUCCAGACUCCUACGGGAGGCAGCAGUGGGGAAUAUUGGACAAUGGGCGAAAGCCUGAUGCAGCCAUGCCGCGUGUAUGAAGAAGGCCUUCGGGUUGUAAAGUACUUUCAGCGGGGAGGAAGGGAGUAAAGUUAAUACCUUUGCUCAUUGACGUUACCAGCAGAAGAAGCACCGGCUAACUCCGUG
This 490-nucleotide ribosomal RNA is filed under the name uncultured bacterium. RNAcentral's name for it is "partial 16S ribosomal RNA". It matches the Rfam family "Bacterial small subunit ribosomal RNA", at positions 30 to 507 of the family's 1533-position model. The record is from RNAcentral.